CGGAACACGUACGCAACCUUCCUUUAACUGGAGGAUAGCCCCUCGAAAGAGGGAUUAAUACUCCGUAACAUAAUGAAGUGGCAUCACUUUAUUAUUAUAGCUCCGGCGGUUAAAGAUGGGCGUGCGCCUGAUUAGAUAGUUGGCGGGGUAACGGCCCACCAAGUCUGCGAUCAGUAACUGGUGUGAGAGCACGACCAGUUACACGGGCACUGAGACACGGGCCCG
RNAcentral lists this ribosomal RNA (225 nucleotides) under uncultured bacterium. RNAcentral describes it as "partial 16S ribosomal RNA". It matches the Rfam family "Bacterial small subunit ribosomal RNA", at positions 109 to 334 of the family's 1533-position model. The record is from RNAcentral.